GCCGCAAUGUCCCAUCGGCCACUUACCCCUCUGCCAUACCGACUGCCACCACCAGCACUGGCCAUACCCUGGAAAAACAACAGACAAGCAAAGCAGAAGCAAGAAUAGCAAAAAAUAAUAAUAAAGUAUGUAACAAAACAGGCUAUAAAAGCCGAAUAGAAAACUGAAAUGGGGUUUCUUUUUCCUUUCCUUUUUUUUCUUUGUAAACAUCAACCAAAAAAAGAGUUAUAGAUUUCAAUAAACAUAUAAGUCGUUAUUCAAGCACACAGGAGAAAAUCCAAGAAUCGAAUCAGAUCAGUGACAAAGAAGGUGACUUUUUUUUUUCAUUUUAGGCAUUUAAAUACAGAAAAAUAAAAGAAAAAUAAAAAAAAAUAGAUAAAUAGCAAAAAAAAGAAGAAGAAGAAAUUACCUUUCCGGCCACCGUGUACGGUGGCCGGCGCCGGCGCCGGCGAGGAUCAGGUGGCCGGACGGUGGCCGGGCUCCCCGCCGGAAAUCCUCUUCCCCCCUCCCUUCUCUCUCCCUUCUCUCUUCCCUCUCUCUUUUUUUUUUCUUUCCCU
This 557-nucleotide long non-coding RNA is filed under the name Gossypium barbadense (sea-island cotton). RNAcentral describes it as "long non-coding RNA (GBAR_LNC005946)". The record is from RNAcentral. Lineage: Eukaryota; Viridiplantae; Streptophyta; Magnoliopsida; Malvales; Malvaceae.